Molecule: ribosomal RNA, 460 nt
Filed under: uncultured bacterium
Lineage: Bacteria
Description: partial 16S ribosomal RNA
Rfam family: Bacterial small subunit ribosomal RNA
Source: RNAcentral
CCUACGGGCGGCAGCAGUGAGGAAUAUUGGUCAAUGGACGAGAGUCUGAACCAGCCAAGUAGCGUGAAGGAUGACUGCCCUAUGGGUUGUAAACUUCUUUUAUAUGGGAAUAAAAUGUUCCACGUGUGGGAUUUUGUAUGUACCAUCUGAAUAAGGAUCGGCUAACUCCGUGCCAGCAGCCGAGGUAAUACGGAGGAUCCGAGCGUUAUCCGGAUUUAUUGGGUUUAAAGGGAGCGUAGGUGGAUGGUUAAGUCAGUUGUGAAAGUUUGCGGCUCAACCGUAAAAUUGCAGUUGAAACUGGCAGUCUUGAGUACAGUAGAGGUGGGCGGAAUUCGUGGUGUAGCGGUGAAAUGCUUAGAUAUCACGAAGAACUCCGAUUGCGAAGGCAGUUCACUGGACUGCAACUGACACUGAGGCUCGAAAGUGUGGGUAUCAAACAGGAUUAGAUACCCCAGUAGUC